Molecule: ribosomal RNA, 435 nt
Filed under: uncultured bacterium
Lineage: Bacteria
Description: bacterial SSU rRNA
Rfam family: Bacterial small subunit ribosomal RNA
Source: RNAcentral
AACGCAUUAAGUAUCCCGCCUGGGGAGUACGGUCGCAAGACUGAAACUCAAAGGAAUUGACGGGGACCCGCACAAGCAGCGGAGCAUGUGGUUUAAUUCGAAGCAACGCGAAGAACCUUACCAAGGCUUGACAUCCCUUGACAGCCGUAGAGAUAUGGAUUCCCUUCGGGGCAAGGAGACAGGUGGUGCAUGGUUGUCGUCAGCUCGUGUCGUGAGAUGUUGGGUUAAGUCCCGCAACGAGCGCAACCCUUAUCAUUAGUUGCCAGCACGUAAAGGUGGGAACUCUAAUGAGACUGCCGGGGAUAACUCGGAGGAAGGUGGGGACGACGUCAAAUCAUCAUGCCCCUUAUGUCUUGGGCUACACACGUGCUACAAUGGCCGGUACAAAGAGCAGCGAAGCCGUAAGGCGGAGCGAAUCUCAAAAAACCGGUCCCA